GUUGACCUCGGAUCAGGUAGGAAUACCCGCUGAACUUAAGCAUAUCAAUAAGCGGAGGAAAAGAAACCAACAGGGAUUGCCUUAGUAACGGCGAGUGAAGCGGCAAUAGCUCAAAUUUGAAAUCUGGCGCUUGCGUCCGAGUUGUAAUUUGUAGAGGAUGAUUUUGGUUAGGUACCUUUCGAGUUCCUUGGAACAGGACGCCUUAGAGGGUGAGAGCCCCGUACGAUUGGAUGCCGAGCCUCUGUAAAUCUCCUUCGACGAGUCGAGUAGUUUGGGAAUGCUGCUCUAAAUGGGAGGUAAAUUUCUUCUAAAGCUAAAUAUUGGCCAGAGACCGAUAGCGCACAAGUAGAGUGAUCGAAAGAUGAAAAGCACUUUGAAAAGAGGGUUAAAUAGCACGUGAAAUUGUUGAAAGGGAAGGAUUUAUGACCAGACUUUUUCUAGGAGGAUCAUCCGGUGUUCUCACCGGUGCACUUCUUCUAGUCUAGGCCAGCAUCGACUUCUGGCGGCGGACAAAAGCUUCAGGAAUGUGGCUCCCUACGGGGAGUGUUAUAGCCUGUUGUAUAAUACGCUGCUGGGGGUCGAGGUACGCGCUUCUGCAAGGAUGCUGGCGUAAUGGUUAUCAAUCACCCGUCUUGAAACACGGACCAAGGAGUCGAACAUUUAUGCGAGUGUUUGGGUGUUAAACCCUCACGCGUAAUGAAAGUGAACGGAGGUGAGAGCCCUUACGGGUGCAUCAUCGACCGAUCCUGAAGUUUUCGGAUGGAUUUGAGUAAGAGCAUAACUGUUCGGACCCGAAAGAUGGUGAACUAUGCGUGGAUAGGGUGAAGCCAGAGGAAACUCUGGUGGAGGCUCGCAGCGGUUCUGACGUGCAAAUCGAUCGUCGAAUCUGCGCAUGGGGGCGAAAGACUAAUCGAACCAUCUAGUAGCUGGUAC
RNAcentral lists this ribosomal RNA (933 nucleotides) under Truncatella helichrysi. Its description in RNAcentral is "eukaryotic LSU rRNA". It matches the Rfam family "Eukaryotic large subunit ribosomal RNA", at positions 1 to 957 of the family's 3401-position model. The record is from RNAcentral. Lineage: Eukaryota; Fungi; Ascomycota; Sordariomycetes; Amphisphaeriales; Sporocadaceae.